Camelina sativa (false flax) is the source of this 1576-nucleotide non-coding RNA. Lineage: Eukaryota; Viridiplantae; Streptophyta; Magnoliopsida; Brassicales; Brassicaceae. The record is from RefSeq and is a predicted model, not a curated record.
UUUGGUUAAAAAAAAAAACUUGAGAUUUUAUGCUUUUGAUCUUGAGAUCUGAAACACAACAAACUUGAAUGAUCGAUUCGUGUUUUUUUGGAUUCUCUUAAAAUUUGGGUGGGCAAAAAACAUCAUAUUGAUUCCUUCUAAUUUGAUUCACUUUCUCUCGAGAACAAAGUUUUAGAUCUAGUUUUUAUUUUGUCUGAGUUAUCGUCCGACCAGCAACAACAAAAAUGAGCAAUCUUUCACUCCCGUCAGCGCAGCGGUGGGUUUAUGACAAGCAACGCGGCAGUGACGCAUCCACGGUGGCUGGGACGUGUGUUGCAGAGCGGCGGUUCUCUGGAGUCGACUUGGAGGCGGACCCGUAUACCAAUUACCACGAUUAACUGAUAUUGCUUGCUUUAUAAACUCGGAAUCUAUGGCGGUUUCUAACGCCUUUGCUGUUACCACAAAGCUGGAAUAUUUGUUAUCGAAUCAACUUAACCCAUCAUCAUCAUCUUCUUCUUCUCCGGCGCCGUUUGGUGUAAUCGGGAUUCAUGAUCUUCCCAUGAACAAUAAUAGGAACAAGCGAGGUCUAAUCCAGAGAGCCCGUUGCGAGAUUUCCACUUCUAAAUCAACCAGCGUCUCUGCUCUAGAACUGCUCAAGUCUUCUGCUAUUGACCAUACGUUAUCUCUCUCUCUUUAAAUCCCAAAUUUGGAGUUUUUUUUUUUCUUUUCUUUGGCUGCCAAUUUCUAAAUUUUGAUGGGAUUUGAUAAGCUAUUCAACAUUUUGCCGCUUUGGAGGAGAUUGAAUUGUAUACUUCUUUGAAGCUAAAAAGUGUCAGUUUUUACUGAACUCCGAUUGUUUUCAUAGUUUUCAGGAUACACAAAGGAAAGAAGUAGUUCUCAUUCAAGCUUUUUAGCAAGAUUCUCAGUCAAGUAUACAUGGCUAAAGAGAUCAAAACUGGUGAAAUUGUGGCUCUCAAAAAGAUUUGUAUGGACGGUGAUGUGUUAUCUUGAUUGGUUGGGCAGAAAGAAGGCAAAUCUGGGUGUCUCGUGUUCUUCUUUCCCUCAAAUUCACCUCUUCAAAAUCUCUACUCCACUGCGUGUUCGAAGAUCCGUCGUCUCGAGCCGUAAAAAUUCAGGAACUGGUUUAGCAAGCGAGGAUUAGAAAUUGUUGCUGGAACAAUAUGGUUAUGACGCCAAUGAUGACUUUGGGUCUCAAUCUAAGAAGGCGAGGAGGAAAGAAGAGAAAAUGAGUGGAAGGAACAGCCAUCAAGUAGAAGAAGUUGUUGUAGUACAGACAAGAACAACUCAUAGGUUACUUCAGGUUCUUGCAGGAACUUUCUCUUAAGGGAAUGGAUGUGAGACCUAUGACGGAAGUUGUUAAAGGAGCAGCUUUUGGGAUUCUCCAGGCUGCUGGCGGUUGUCCCACGUCUCUGCGUCCUGGUAAGUGGUUGGAUUUUUACAGUGGUAUGUAGGAAUUGAAGCAAUCAGUCGAGGAUGUUCUGAGGCGCACUUUGUUGAGAUGGAUCCUUGGGUUGUUUCGAAUGUUCUACAACCAAACUUGGAACACACUGGGUUUGUUGAUGCUUCGGUUAUACAC